Molecule: non-coding RNA, 150 nt
Filed under: Marinobacter sp. LV10MA510-1
Lineage: Bacteria; Pseudomonadati; Pseudomonadota; Gammaproteobacteria; Pseudomonadales; Marinobacteraceae
Also listed under: 1 other name
Source: RNAcentral
CCGGUUGUUUCACCAACCGUUCCCUACCCGGACGUGCGGAGCCGGUAACAGCACCGUGCGAAGCUUCGGGGACAAUGUAACCGCCGACUCAGUCGGUAUGUCGACCCGUGAGGAAAGACAUAAUCUGCCAGCAUCGAGGCGGAAAGGGGC